UAACUCAGGGAAACUUGAGCUAAUACCGGAUAAUGACGUAAGUCCAAGAUUUAUCGCCGUAAGGAUGAGCCCGCGUAGGAUUAGCUUGUUGUGGGGUAAUGGCCACCAAGGCGACGAUCCUUAGCUGGUCUGAGAGGAUGAUCAGCCACACUGGACUGAGACACGGCCCAGACUCCUACGGGAGGCAGCAGUGGGGAAUAUUGGACAAUGGGCGAAAGCCUGAUCCAGCAAUGCCGCGUGAGUGAUGAAGGCCUUAGGGUUGUAAAGCUCUUUUACCCGGGAUGAUAAUGACAGUACCGGGAGAAUAAGCUCCGGCUAACUCCGUG
RNAcentral lists this ribosomal RNA (326 nucleotides) under uncultured bacterium. RNAcentral describes it as "bacterial SSU rRNA". It matches the Rfam family "Bacterial small subunit ribosomal RNA", at positions 144 to 507 of the family's 1533-position model. The record is from RNAcentral.